Molecule: long non-coding RNA, 2664 nt
Filed under: Olea europaea subsp. europaea
Lineage: Eukaryota; Viridiplantae; Streptophyta; Magnoliopsida; Lamiales; Oleaceae
Source: RNAcentral
CUGAUACUGACAAUUUGAAAAUACUUGAGUUCAAAUUCAUCCAUAACGAACAACCAUUUCCUUCUCUCAUUAAUGACCACAUUAUAAUCAAUCCUAUCUUUGAUCCUGUAGUGGUCAGAGCAAAAAUGGAGACGGCUUUGUUGGGUGGAGGAGAAGGCAGCAGUGGCGACCAAAGAAGGGAUCGUAGGAACUUGUUUAACAGAACAGAUGCCAUUGCUUAUGGAUCAACAUACCAGAAGGCCGCUGCUUUGGUUGAUCUCGUAUGUUUCUUGUUUUUUUAUGUUAAGUUUCAUAAUAUUGAAUAAAAAUGUUGUAGCAGUAUAGUUUAGCUGGUAAUUCAAUGUGGGUAUGUCUGUACAUUGAAGAAUAUGAUGUUAAAGUUGAUGAAGAUAUAAUAGAUUCUGUUAAAGCGUCUAUUUUAAACGCAAUUGGUAUUGAAAAUGGGGAUUCCGACUUUACUGAAUUCUUGGAAAGUCUAUUAAGAAAAGUGGACGUGUGUAGGGAUAUUUUGAUCUUGAUAAUUUGCUUAAGAUAUGAAAUUUCUUUGAAUUACGAUUGGGUGAUGGUUUUUGCAAGUUGUACUUUUCACAUUUGUAAUGACGUGGGCACCUUAAGUUAGUAUGUUUGUGGUGGAUUAAUUACUUGGUAUCAAGAAUUUUUAUGAAGGAAAAGAUAGUCUGUGGUGGAAGGUUUUGGGUCCGUGGCAACUGGCAUUAGAGAACGACUUACUGUAAGUGUAGAAAUAGUGGAUAUUUCGAACUUACUGAAUAUAUUUCUUUCUGAAUAUAAUUCUUUUGUCAAUUCAAUUCACCACCUGGAUUUGUAAAUAGUGAAAGUGUUAUGGAUUCAAGUUAAGUUUUACUGGCCCCAGAAAAUGGGAACGUUUCUUAUAUUGGUGACCACAAAUAAACAUGAUUACACUCUAUUCAGCAUUUUUUACUGCAUCGUAGACCAAAAUUGUUCCUGAAGCCUUGCAUGGUUGACCGAACUCAUUUCAUUUGGUAUUGAAGUCACCUAUGAGGUGCUAUCCCUCAUCUGAACUCUGGAUGUGGAUUGUCAAUAGACUGGAUGCUACAAGAAUAGUACGUAUUUUUCUGUUUUUGUUUUUUGUUUUCUUUUUGGGGGGUGGGUGGGUGGUGUGAGGGGUUGAUAAGACCUUGCCUUCAUAACACCUGGACUCAUAUCAGUUUGGUGGUAACUACUACUUGGAUGCUCAAGCAUUUCCGGAUCAGUUGGCUUGUGCCAAUGCUAAGUAGAUUUCUGGGGCGUAAUUCCAACACUGGAAUAUCAAGGAAAUUAGAGGAUACCUUCAUGCGUAUUAAAGGAUGAGAAUGUCAUCAGUACAGUACCUUGGAUAGAGACAUAUUCCUGAAAAUAUCUGGAAUGCUUAUAGCAAUCUCUGCUUGCCCCCCCUUUAUAAUGAUUUGAAAUAUCUCUUGCAUUUGCAGGCUGAAGAUGGUGUUGGUAUACCUGAGGAAAUUCUUGAUAACUCGAGCUUUGCAAGUUCUCUGAAAUCCUACUUCAUAUUUAUUCGAUUUGACUUUCUCUGGUCUCUUAACUACUUUGCAUUAAUCAUUCUAAAUUUCUUUGAGGUUUGUGUAUCUUCCUAACUCCUAGUAUAUCUAUUUUUUCUCUUUUUUUGUUUGACAUUAAAUAAUUAUUUAUGAUUUAGAGAUAUUUUUUAUUAUUAUUAUUUUUUUUAAGUUCAAUAUUUGUUGGAAUUGAUACUUAAAACUACGUUUGGUUUACAUCCGCAGAAACCUCUAUGGUGUUCUGGGUAUUGCAAUAAUAGAGGUUACUACUUUCUCGGGCAGCUGCCAUACUUGACUGGUGCUGAGAGUCUUGUAUAUGAGGUAAGGUCGAAAUAGUACACCCAACAUCAUGGAUGAAUAUUUAUCUGAAUUUUGGCUAUUGCUAUAGUUGCCUUUCUUUGACCAUAACAAAUUGGAUUGAAGAAAAAAUAAGUUGUACUAAUUUUUCCUUUUUGGGGUUGGGGGCGGACAUAAGAUCCAGAAAUUUUGAUUUAAAUAUUUAAAAAUAUAUAACAAAACAAUCAUCUGUGAGGCUAAUAUAGAUAUUAGACGUGCUUGUGUUCAAAAAUCAUUUUAGCAGAAGAAAAAAUCUACAGUGGAUAACGAUUAACAAAGAUAGUGAAACGGUCGAACCAAAACUCCACAUCCUUAGAUUUUAUGCUUUUGAUGAGAAGAUGGAAUGAAAAGAAUGAGAAGUCUGUAAAAACAUGCCAGAUUCGGAAUGUCUUUUAAACAUUGGUAUGUAUUCUAUUGUACUAACAACUCUGGCAGUCAAUUAUUGGAUGCUCGCCUGCUAUAAAAGUUGCACAGAUCUCAGUUGUUUUAGGUCAAUGAUUGACACUUUUGGUUAGUGAUGAAUAAAUAUAAACUAAUUUUUGAUAGCCAAAAAAAGCUGAAUGGGCAGUUGCCGUGUACAAACUUAUUUAUCAAGCAGGAGUAAGAAAAAGAACAAGAAGUCCUUAAAAUGAAAAAUAUACAUAGGACACAAAAUUGAAUUUAAUGGCAGUCAACAAGGCAUGCAGUUUUUCUGGUGUUGUAUUAUCCAGUGUUACAAGAACCGGACCCCUGUCAGUUCAACCUGGAAAAAUGGGGGAACCGGUCUAGAAACAGAAAAUAUAAAAACUAAAAAAAU